RNAcentral lists this long non-coding RNA (1581 nucleotides) under Zea mays. RNAcentral's name for it is "long non-coding RNA (ZMAY_LNC004339)". The record is from RNAcentral. Lineage: Eukaryota; Viridiplantae; Streptophyta; Magnoliopsida; Poales; Poaceae.
CUCUUUCCCUCUGUUUCCUCUCCUCCUUUCACCGCACACGGUUCUCGAGCCCGACCAAAACGGUUGUGGGGAGCAGAGAACAUGGGUUGGGCGAGGGGUGUCACCAUUGUCGACCUCGGGUGUUAACCAUCCUCGAACCAUCGAUUCGCGUGGAGGGGCGAGUACCGACAUCCGUCUCGCAUUUCCCCGCUAUCAUCCGAGCAUUAAGGGUGACCGUAGGGCAAUAAAUUGCUCACCGGCGUCGUGAAUUCGGCAGAGCACCGCCGUGCGUCGUGGGCAUGAACUCCUGGAGCCUAAUCACCGGUAAGACCUUGCCCCGUGGACUCGCCCCAACCCCCGCUACGCGUAGCACCAUAGGGAUCAGGUUCGUUGUGUAGGUUACGAGAUCCGGGAAUGGUGGCAAUGGCGCCGCCGUGGUUUGCCCAGGCUUUGCCGCUGGCGUGAUCCCGUGAGGAAGAAAGCGCCUGGACCGUCCAUCUAUUGCUCGACGGCUAGAUUUAGACCUAAGUGUACCCUUUCGCUGCGUGUGAUCCAUGCCAUCGAUUCAUCCGCGGGCGGCUACGAUUAGAUCCUGCCAUCAUCGAUUCUGGAUCGUGGGAUCGAAAUGGGCGGAUCAGAUUAGAUGUUCGCGUACCCCUUCAGCUUUCUAAUCUCAGCCCUGAAUUCGGGAUCGGGAGGCUCGGAUGAAAUCUAGCUCUCGGUCGCAGGGAUAUUUGUUAAAGAACCCUUGGAUGUUUCCGAAAAUAACCCGCCAUCCCUGUCUGGUUGAAUACAAUUACGGUUAGAUCCUCGGAUUUUACAAAACAGCCCUUGAUGUUAUAAAAUAUUUCUGGAAAUUGUUUUUGCUGUAAAAAUAAAUCUAGAACCUUAGAAAAUCCAUAUCUCCUUCGUCUUAACUUCUUUUUGAUCCAUUCCAGUUGCAUUAAUCUCAUAUUAAAAUUGUUUAUCAUCUAAUGACAAUAUUUAGUCAUGAAACAUAGAUUAAAAUUAUGCAGUUAGUUUAUUAUAUAUUGAACACCUAAAUUUUCAGAAAAUCAUAACUCUUUAACCGUAAUUCCGAUUUUAGUGUUUCUCGAACCUGCGAUCUUGUUACGACGCGUAGAAUAUUAUUAUGCAGUUUGUGCUUAUGUUUGGUGUGAUGUUAAUUUUGUCUAUAUCAUGUUUGUUUGUAUUGCUACGAAUAGAAGUGAAGUCACGAGAAUCUAAAGAUCAUCUUGGUACCUGGAAUCUCGAGUCUAAGGCAAGUUGUGUCCUUGAUCACUUUUCUUAACCAAAUAAUGUUCUUGGUAAUCACUGUGACAUGCUCAGGUUAAUUUGAUGGGACCUAAUAGGAUUCCCUAGCAUUGUGUAUCCCCACCUAUAAACAGAUGAAUUAUUGGGUAGAUUUGCUAUUGCUCUACCUGGCUUUGGUAAACUAAUGUUUUAUUACGAUCAUGUUCCAAUUAUGUUGUUGUUUAAUUAUUAUUUAUGAUAAGAUCAUAUUGUUAAUUGGAACAUGGAGCGAAGGGAGUCCCAUUCCACCCUUGUGGUAGCACUAUUUUCCCGGGUGGUCUCUCCAUGUUCAAUUUAAUAUAAUAAUAU